Non-coding RNA from Gossypium arboreum, 106 nucleotides. The record is from Rfam. Lineage: Eukaryota; Viridiplantae; Streptophyta; Magnoliopsida; Malvales; Malvaceae.
AAACCAUGCAUUGGGCAUUUCCUAAUUAACUCUUGAAUCGCUCUCAUGCUUCAUAUAAUGUUUCAUCCUCAGGUUGUCAAAAGGACGUAAUAUCGUUUCUCAAUUU